This is a long non-coding RNA of Mirounga angustirostris (Northern elephant seal), 1527 nucleotides long. RefSeq lists it as uncharacterized. The transcript is spliced from 3 exons. The record is from RefSeq and is a predicted model, not a curated record. NCBI's taxonomy places the organism in Eukaryota, Metazoa, Chordata, Mammalia, Carnivora, Phocidae.
GAUACAAUGUUAAAAGUAGCUCCCCGCGAGAGGAGGUGGAUUCGAGUUCAUCUCCAGAGAAACCAGGGCCAUAACUGGCCACAGCAAAGCAUUUCUGCGAGACCCAAAAAUUUCUAAGCGUCAUUCACCACCCCAGGCGCUCGCGGCAGGUUGAUCUGGCUGGCGCUUCAAGCUGGUGAUUCAGGGCAGGGGUCCUCCAGGGUCCAGCUUUGUCUCCAGGCCUGGGAAGCUGGAAAGUCGGGCCCUGGGGAGGAGAUCAGGCUUGGAAUUUCUGUAGGCUAGGUCGCGGAGUUAAAAUGACAACCAUAAGCUAAUACAAGUAACAACUUCCAGGUUAACCUCUCUUCGCAGCUGGGGAAGAGUGAGGCGCAGAGGGAGGUGAAGGAUCUUCUUCACUACCACCCAGCCGAGGAGGGGCGGCAGACCCCGCGUUUGAAGACCGGUCUGCCAUCUCCGAAACCCGGGCGCUCGGCCUCCAAGCCGGAUCUACCACGCCGAGCCACCGCCCGGAAACCGGCGCACGGCCCGCUACCGUCCGGAGGCCGGGGGCUCAAGGAACCCGGCGAGAGGUGGCCGACCAAACCGGGGGGGGGGGGGGGAGCCAAGCGCCCUCGAGUCUCACCCAAGCCGGCGUGGCCACGCGGGCUGGAGGCGCUGCGUGCUGCGGGCGGGGCGCGGGCGGGCCAGCGUGGUGCGCCGCAGCGGAUGCACGCGUGAGCGGGAGCUGAUCCGAAACGCGCUGCCCUCUUUUUCUUUCUUUCUUUCUUCUUCUUCUUUUUGGAGGGGUAUUUGAAGGAAAAAAGAAAGACACCUUUACCAAGAAAAAGAAGAAAAAGACCCCCUCCCCCUUCCGCUUUGUCGUUCAAGUUCCCCCGCUGGACUUGGGAAAGGGGCUCUUCGAAGCGGGUCCUCAACUCAUGGCCCGACUCCUUUUUAGAGAGGAACCCGGAGAAAGGAACUGGACUCCCUGCUCCCUCGCCUUUCGGUCGAGCUUUCGAGGCUUUCGGCGGCCGGGCCGUUGGUCGAUCAACCAACGGAACGUUCAUUGAACAGUUCCUACUAGGUGAAGACUACACGGAGGAAGGCCACUCUUCCCAUCUGGCAGAUGAGACAACUGAUGCGCAGAAAUAGAAUUGACCGAGAUCACGUGGUCAGCGGACCACGUCUACAGCCCAGGCUCUCUGACUCCUUUUGCUUCUGCAUGUUUAAAUAAGUUUGUGCAAGCUUAGAUUCAUUCCUUUUUCAUUUCCCCAGAAAAAUGGAGAUAAUUUCUUGUUUAAUAUCGGAGUUCCUCAGACUUCCUGAAGUUCACCCCAAGAUAAAAACAUCACUUUCCCCACUCCCUUCCCACAUACCUCACUUCUAAGCGAUUGUUGGAAUUGUGAUACUCAGGGGGCCAUUCGGGGCCAGGGAAUGGAGUGUAAUUCAACUGGAUCGCGAUUACAGCUGCAGGCCUCCCAGUGGCAGAUGGUGUGCCGGGAAGGUGGUAGGACAGGUGGGGGGUGGGGUGGAGGGGGACAAGCGGAG